CCUCGUUCAUGUUUACCGGGGCCGGGG
Molecule: small RNA, 27 nt
Filed under: Bombyx mori (domestic silkworm)
Lineage: Eukaryota; Metazoa; Arthropoda; Insecta; Lepidoptera; Bombycidae
Description: ovarian small RNA-13983
Source: RNAcentral